CAAAAAUCGAAAGGAAAAAGACGAUGAGGAAUGCUAAAAUAAAAAAAACAAAGAUAAAGAUACUAAAUAUAAAUAAAAGAAAUAAAUAAAUUAGUUGGAGGUGCUAGUGAUUGGGGAAUUCACCCUUAAAUGUAUGAUUUAUCGAAUAUCAUGCCAUAAAAUAGGAGUCAAUACAUUUAAUUAUCCAUUUUGCUACAAUAAAAAUAAAAAAUAUUCAAUCACAUAAAAAAUUUAAAAAUUAACCAUCAUUUGUGCAAAAAUACAUAUAUACUCCUGUCAUAAAAAUUGAAUUUAUCAACUUAUAAUUCCUAUUCAUGAAUUCCGUCAGAUUUAAAUCUCCAUUUUUUUCUCUAUACGUCUUCUCUCCUUCUCUCUUUUCAUGUGAU
Molecule: long non-coding RNA, 386 nt
Filed under: Salvia miltiorrhiza (redroot sage)
Lineage: Eukaryota; Viridiplantae; Streptophyta; Magnoliopsida; Lamiales; Lamiaceae
Description: long non-coding RNA (SMIL_LNC002762)
Source: RNAcentral